CCUUGUACACACCGCCCGUUACACCAUGGAAGUUGGCUGCACCAGAAGUAGGUAGUCUAACCGCAAGGGGGGCGCUUACCACGGUGUGGUCAAUGACUGGGGUG
This 104-nucleotide ribosomal RNA is filed under the name uncultured bacterium. RNAcentral describes it as "partial 16S ribosomal RNA". It matches the Rfam family "Bacterial small subunit ribosomal RNA", at positions 1379 to 1482 of the family's 1533-position model. The record is from RNAcentral.